CCUUCGUGUUUUUAAUAUACCGCGCCGCGGCCAGAAGGGAAUCUGUGAAAUCAAACUCAUUCUCUCGGGCUCGCUUUCUUAAUUAAACUCCCGGAGCUGAGAGGGAGGACAGCUUUAAUUUGAAACGAGCCAGCCCACCUCUGCCAGAUUAAAAACUUGCCAUGACUGGCACCAGUCUUCAAUAUUCACUGGAGGAAAACAGAAUCUCCGGAAGUCAGUCAAUUUGACUGAAAGACUCAGUUCCAUCUCCAAGACGUGUUACAGUUUGCAGGCGCAAGCGACAAGGCAACAGCAGCAGAGAGAAUGUCUAACUUUACUUGCUGGACGAAACUCGGGUUGGAGCAAGAGAUAUUUAUUUUGCAAAUAUAACCUGCAUUGGUGUGAUCCUGGCGUGGUUCCAGAGCCAUCCACCCAACCUUCGCAGAGGUGCCGUGGCUCUGAGGAAUGAUCCUGUACUAAGGCUACCCUCCUGCUCUCGAUUUUAAAUGUCAAUGUACGUGAUCUCAUUUUCUUAAAAUAUACGAAGCCAGUUCUACUAAAAUGGCGGAGAUAGCCGUUUCCAUGAAGUGGUAUGAUGAGCCUUAACGAGUCUAGGAGACGAUUCAAUCUUCUUCAGAGCGGGAAAAACAGCCGUCAGCCUACGCCGCGGAACCGCCUUCCCUCUUCGCCCUGUUGGCAAGAAUUGCAGAGCAAGGGACGAAGGGAUUUCUGCAAAAGACCCGCUUCUGCUUCUCCCUUCCGCCCCCGUUCCUUGUAGCAGGAAAUCCAUACUGGGAUUUUUGACCCGUGGAAGGUCAUUCCUCGAUUUCCCCGACUGUAUUUCUGCAGGAAACAGAAUAGGUAUGAAUUACAGUAAGAGCAUCGUGAUCUGGGGACGGUGCAUGUCUUUGCUUGAAAAAUUAAACCAUGAUGCAGUACAUUAGUGCCCCACAGGGCGAGAUUUUGGAUGGUCCUGGAAAAAAAAAAGGCUAUUGUGUGUUUCCCACAUGCUUUCCUUGCUACUCUCUGAAAGCCAGAGAUCGAUUCAAGGAACAGAACAUGCCUCAUCUGAAGAGGCGAAGCAUAUACUGCCGCUGUUAACUUGCAAACAAUACAAAAUUACUUCAAGACAGAACCCAUCCGUUAUACAAUAAAUUCCAGACAUAAAGCUCGCUCCUUCCUUCCUUCCUUCCUUCCUUCCUUCCUUCCUUCCUUCCUUCCUUCCUUCCCUGUUUUGUUUUUUCAAAUAACUCAAGGCAGCAAACAUAUCCAAUGUACCUUUCUUCUUCUUUUUCCCCCAAAACAACAGGGCUAGGCUGAGAGAGAGUGACUGGCCAAAACCAUCCAGUUGGCUUUUGGAAGAUUACUCUUCUUCUCUCUAUCCUUUAUAUAAUACUACUACUAUUGUUAAAUCUGCACAUCUAGCAAAAUUUAAGGAUACUAUUUUAAAACAUUUAUUUCACUGCUCUCUGUUCUCUAGUUCUUGCAGAUGACACAUGCGUUAUGAUUUGGAUCACUUUUGUGAAUAGUGAUUUCUGCAAAAGAGUCAGUAAUGCAGAAAAGAGGGAGAUUUAUAUUCUGGAUUCUUUCAUAGCAUUUUUUUUAUUUCCUUUCCUUCCUCUGCUACCUCUCUUGGUCAUCCUCUUUAUGAGGAAACCAGAAUCAAGUUGUAAUAAACAAAAGAGAUACAAAUCAAGAAUCUAUUACAAUCCAGAUGAAAUAAAUUGUGUCUAACAGACUAAUGUAAUGAACAUGUAAUCAAAACAAAAUUGCAUUGAGUUGACUCCCUGAUGUAGAAUGGUUAUAGAAUCAUCACACUUCACUGAACUCAAGGGAGAUAAAAUAAAUUUUCCUUCAAGUCAACCUUAUUCACACAUUGGUAAAGGCUUCUCAGCGAGGACUUGGAAAUGGCUUGGCAAUAUCAUUUCCCCCUCCAGCCUAGUCUACAAUUCUGAGAUUUCCUUGUAGUCUUCUAUCCAAGUACUAAUCACGCCUACUUAUAUUUUCAGUUAAGGCUGACUAGAUGUUACCUACUUGGAUUCAAUAUUAUUCUGGAUAAAUAUAUUUGGGAUUGGAUUUGACAAUAGGAAGUCUUUACAAUAUUAGACACACUCCUCUUUGGGCACAGAUGACAGUCAGUCUUAGCAGAAUAAACCAGUUUUAGCUUUCUAUGCUAAUGAAAGCAAGUAAUAGCUCCCUCCCCCGUUUUUCCUUUCCCAGAAAGAGAUAUUCUAUGCUUUCAGUGUCAGACUAAACAAAUAAUUAAUAAUCUGGAAUAAGGUUAAUUUUCAUUUCUAUACUAACAAGGUUUUCAUUUGUUUUUUUAGAAGCAUCAUUCAGAUGCUUUAGGAACUGAAUGCUUUUUCAGGCUGAACAUUUUGGUUGGUCAUUAAUUUAAUCCCUUUUCCUCAGCCUGCAAAUUUCAUUUAUGGUUUUAGUAUAAACUUGAACAGUUGCAAUCAUGGACUAUGAAUCACCAAGUUUCAAAUGCUAUUUUGAAAGAAAAAUGAAAAAGCAAGUCCAUAAUACCCCUGAGGAUCAUCUUAAGGUAAGCUUUUUAUCAUGCUGAUAUGCUGCUUCGAUGAUAAUGAUGUGAAAUCAGCUUCUCCCAAUGCAUUUGUAUCUAUAUUUUUUCAGAGUGUGUUUUGCCUUUUUAUUUCUAUACAAUAUUAGAUUUAUAGUAUUUGCCCCAUAAUCACAACAAGGUUUAUUUGGUUUUGGGUUUAAGACAUUAUUUGAACCCAAAUACUGUGUUUACAAAACUUAGUUCACGGCUUUGAGUCAGGAUACUAUAAUUUGUCUAUAGAACCAUAUUUAGAAGUAGUGGCUUUGCAUGUUAAUUGAAUUCUUCCCCUUUGAUAUUGGCAGUAUCUUCAACACCAGUUGAGAUAGAAAGCAUGUAUUCUUGGAGAGAAGUAACUUUAUAUUUUUAUAUGCACUUCUGUAUUACUUAUUUUGCAGAGCGAAUAUACAAAGAAUUCAUUCUAUAGGUAGAAUAUUUGCUGACAAAUUUAUUUCUUGCAUUCUUUCAUAUUUAUUGUAUGGACAUUCUUUUAUAAAUAGAAUAUAAUAGAUACUAUAACAAUGUUCCUUUCUCACAAUUAUAAUUCAUAUUCACCUUCCAUCUUAAAAACUCAGCUCACUGGAGAAGGUUCAUUUAAUUAUCCCUAUGAAGGCGAGCUUCAAUGGAUCCAGAAUGUGGCCACACUAGCAAUGAUGGGUUGCCUCAGUGUGCACACAUGACACCUCAUUUGUAUAUUUUAAAUACAACAUUAAAUUUAGAGAAUAGUAAAUUAUGACACAACAUCAAAUACCUGAAGGUACAAUACAGCUGCUUCAAUUUAUGAACAAGUAGCCUCAUAUUUGUGCAGUGCUGCUAGAGAAAAGGCCUUCUCUCAGGUAUCUUCUCUUGUGGAACAGAAUUAAGGUGAUAAAUUACACUUGGUCUCUAAUGAAAAAAGCUGACAUUUCAGAUAAACUAACCCAAACUUAAGGACCUUUUAUUCUAAACUUCUAUAUUUAGUCUUUAAGUUGGUAGCAGAUUGAAACUGAUAAUUGUACUCAAAGACUACCUGAGCAGCUGCAGCCUUUAAAAGAUAAUCAUACAAAUUAAUAAAAUGACUUAAAAUAA
This is a long non-coding RNA of Crotalus tigris (Tiger rattlesnake), 3610 nucleotides long. RefSeq lists it as uncharacterized. The transcript is spliced from 2 exons. The record is from RefSeq and is a predicted model, not a curated record. Lineage: Eukaryota; Metazoa; Chordata; Lepidosauria; Squamata; Viperidae.